AGUCGACUUGUUUCUGAUGUUUUUGUUUUCCUGGCAGACAUUCUACACGAACUUGCCCAAAGGCGGAAGGAAGGCACGCACAGAUGGACGCACAGAAAUCAUGGGGCUGCCGUAGAAGCUGUGAAUGAGCAUUAACCUACGUACAGAAAGGAGCGAAGUGGAGAUGUCCAUGGGCCGUGCACACAGUUUCAUAAGCAAGCUUGCAACACUUUUGACAAAUAUGUUCCUGAAUACAUCUGCCAAAGUGGCAUUUAAAGAAGCA
This is a long non-coding RNA of Rhipicephalus sanguineus (brown dog tick), 262 nucleotides long. RefSeq lists it as uncharacterized. NCBI's taxonomy places the organism in Eukaryota, Metazoa, Arthropoda, Arachnida, Ixodida, Ixodidae. The transcript is spliced from 2 exons. The record is from RefSeq and is a predicted model, not a curated record.